UAUUUUUCCUCCAUGUCUUUUUGUGGAUGGAUAGUUCAUUUCUUUUCAGUGCUGAAUAAUACUGCAUUGUCUGCGUGUACCAUGGUUUAUCCAUUUGCCUACUGAAGUAUAUCUUAGUUGCUUCCAAGUUUUGGGAAUUAUAAAUAAAGCUGCUAUUAAUAUCCAUGUGCAAGUUUUUGUGUGGACAUAAGCUUAGGAGAUCUGUGUUUUUAACAAGUGGUCCAGAGACAGAUUUGGGGCCACUAGACCAGAUAAUCAUUUGUCUAGAGUCUGAGAGGGGACAGAAAGCCUCUCUAGUCCAGAAGUUUGGGUUCCAUGACUGUUGCGUGUAGCCCUUGGAUCGAGCUCUGGUUUGGACUGGGUGUUAACUUUCUUCUCUCUGGAAUACUCCCCAUCCCCCGAGAGGAAAAUCACUCUUUUGGCCAAAUUUUCAGUGCCAAUGUCUAUUGCUAGCAUGAAAUUGCCUAAUAUAAAGAGCAAGUUUUUUCAGGCUGGAGGGAGAGUAUGCUGACCAGUUCCUCCAAGUCCAGGACUGACAGGGUUCAAAUUCUAGCUCUACCAUCCAUGACCUUUAUGACACUGAGCAAGUAACUUAACCAUUCAAUGACUUUGUUUUUCCUUCCAUAAAGGUUGCUAAUAAUAGUACUCACCUGCUGAGGUUAUUGUGAGAAAUAAAUAAGUUCAUACACAAGAAGACUUAGAAAAAUUCCGGGUAUGAAGUCAGUUUUGAGGAAAUGUUAACUGCUGUCACCAUUACUGUCAUCAUCAUUAUUCUUAUUACCAGUUAUGAGACAUUAGGGUCCCUCUGAUGGGGGAGUCCUUCCUGGUGAAAGACCAGAAUUGGAGUGAACCCUGGAGGUUAUUUUAUAGCCGCAAGUGCUGGCUGAGUCAGCGGAAAUAGGAUGGUUCCUGUGUGCCCCGGUUGGCUGAAGGGAGGAGCCAGUUGAGCGGAUUCCAUUUUCUCAUGGUGGUACAUCUGGGGCCAAGGCGCCAGCAGCAUGGAUUGUCCAAGGCAGACAAUAAGGCCAUAGCUUCCCAGAGCUCACUUUGCCUUUUCUCAUUUAGCAGCACCUCCUGUCUCUAUCUUCCCUCUCCACGUGCUAGAAUGCAAGUCACAUAAGUAGCUACCUAGUGCUUUGGUUAUACAUGGUAGUUCUAAUGUGUCCAUUGCUCUGCGAACACCCCUAGAAAGGGUAUGCCCAUAAAACACUGGACUCAAAGACAACAGACAGCACAGGUUUAACUCUGUUACUUCUAAGCUUCAUGAACUUGAGCAAGUUUCAGAACCUUCUGGAGCUUCAGUCUUUUCAUUUCUAAGACAGAAUAAUCCCUCCUUCUCAGGGAUGUCAUUAACUCUUAAUGAAUGCAAAAUGCUUUUUAAACUACACAAAUGGUAUUAUCACCUUAUUUGUUAGAAAGUUAAACUGACGAAAUGUUGGUUAUUGUUUAUGAUUAAAAGAUGAACACGAGGAGAAGAAACUGCUUGGGUUUCUGUUAUGGAAGACAAGAAAGGAGCUGUGUGAGAGUUCUUUGCUGUUAUGGGCAUGAAGGAGAUGUUUACAUGUUCCCAAAGUACAAGGUGCUUUUUGGGCAAAUUAGUACCUGUUCUUUUGCUGGCAAAUCCACCUGUAUGGGAAUCAGCCAUUUAGGACCAAAGAUAGAUACACUACAUAUAUUUACUGCUAACACCAUAAUUUAGUUUGCCUCUUUUUCAACUUUUAACUCAAGUAUAACACUCAGACAAAAAAAGCACACAAAUCUUACAUGAUAAUAGUGAUGAAUUUUUGCAAACUAAACACACAUGUGAAACAAGCAUCUGGAUUUAAAAGGAAAAUAAAAUUGCUAUCAUCAAGAAACCCUGUGGAGGCCUCAGAAUUUCAAACACAGUUGACUCCAAGACUAAUCCUGGCAAUGACAUGCAGUUGGCAAAGUUUAUGUCAUUUAUGUCUUGACAUCUAUUUUUGGUUGGCUUCUGGGUAUGGUUCUGGCCAGUACUUAUAUUAAGGGGUUCCUCCAGACAAUACUAUUUUAGGGAUGGCUUGAGAAUCGCCUUUACACGAGGGUGUCAGUGAAUGGGUUGCUUUUUCCAUAGGUUUCUGGCUUAAAUCUAGGUCCUUGGGUGGAAUCCAAAGGGACAGUUCUCUCAAGGAGGAAAUUCGGGUCUCUGGGAGCCAGAAGUGGGUGACUUUGAAGGUCUCCAGGGAACCUUAAACAUCACCUCACAAAAGCGUUGUGUGGCAUUUUGAAUGCCUGCCAUGGUAAAUCUUGCUAUUUGCAAGGUCAUGAUAGUGACUUACCUUCUUGCUUGGGAUUGAUGCUACAUUGUGUGGUUGGCUGCUCAGUCUAGAAAGGAGACAAAAGAGACAGACUGUGCUGAAGAAAAGCAAUUGUAAUGUGUGAUCAAAAGACCCAGAAAUUCUGGCUAAGGUAUACAGCACCUCACCUAGUUUCUGCCUAGUGCCUGAAGGCGCUGCCGCUAAUUAAACCACCUCUUAGUCAGCAUUCCAGUUGCUCCUGUCUGGGAGACUGCUUGGAAAGGCUCAGUUUGGGAAGCUUCAGAGGCUACAAGAAACUCCCAGGCCUGAGGGCCAAACCUGGAGCUUUUUAAAUCUCAAGAUCAGGGUUCCAGUGACGCUUGGAAGGAGAAUGAGUACUCAUGCUUCAUGGCAGAAGGACCACAUUUUGGAGGGUCCAGAUUUAGAGAUGUUGAUGCUGGUAGUUGGGUUCUAAGAGAUCCUUCAGGGACCAGUGCAUCUUCCCAGGUCCUCAUCAGUUUCCCCAAAGGCCUUGUUGGGUGAACCUAGAAUGGUUUCUGGUUCCGUCUUCCCUCAAGAGUGCUGGGAGCACUGAGGCCACCAUACCUUGGUCAGGGCAGCUGGAUCACAACCACCAGCUGAAAAGAACCAGCCUGGUUGUGGUGCUGACCUGCCCAUUUCUGCUGUGCACUGGUUUCCCAAUGCAGGUCUUCCCUGCUUCUUACAGGAUGGAACUUCCCCACUUGAAGCCAUUUCUGAUUUUCCUUCUCUCAUUUCUCUCCUCUUCUCAGAUUUGUUAGGCUUCUGGACCACUACCCCCUAGAACAGAGUGUCACAAAGAACCUGUGACUAGAACAUAUUUUUAACCUAAUCAUCCAUUCAUUCAUUCCUUUAUGCAGCACAUACUAAUUGAACAUCUACUAUGUGCUAGGAGAAUGCAAGGCAUGGUGGAAACAGUCAAAUAAGACACAGUUUGUCCUCUAAAAGUUUAUGUUCUAGUGGGGAAAACAUACAAGUAAACUGUGAAAAACGCCUCGAGAGCACAGGCGACAUGGUAAACUGUAUCUACAAAGCAAACUUGAGAAUUAUCAAAGGCUUCCUGAGGGAAGUCAUGCCUGAGUUACUUGGAAGGAGUAAAAGUCAGUCCAAGAAGGCUGGGUUAGAGGGUGGAUGGAGGAUGUUUUAGCUAGUGGAGAGUUUGCUUCAAGGCAAGCUGCCUUAUUCAUCUGAAAAGGGGUCAAGUUACCCCUGGCUCAAAACCGAGAGUGUACACCACGUGAAUCCUCCUCAGCUUACUGAAGUUGUAUGAAGUUUUCAAAUGUGUUUUCCUAUUGUUCCAUGAGCCAGAGGCGGGUAGCCAUUACUUCAGAAUCGACAGGCCUUUGGGGACUGGGCUGGCCAAUGUGUUCCUGGGCCAUGGCAUAAUCUUUAUUUUUAGAAGAGGUUCCCAAUUUGGGAUGAUCAAACACCCCACCCCAGUCUUUCACUGGGCCCUGGAGGCUCAUUGUGCCUUUGUGUCUUAUUUCUGUUUGGGGUGGUGUGUCUAUCUGAAAAUGAGCAAUUUGUUGGGUCAAAGCUGGCUUAAGUCUCUGCCUAGGGAAGGAUUUCACAGAAGUCAGAGGCCAUAUCCUUAAGGUUGUACUCCUGAUGUUCUUUGAGAGGUUAUCCAGUCAUUCCAUUGUAGUGGGGGAUAAUGACAGUGGGACCUUCCCAGGCUCCCACCCACUCUGAACUCUGGGACUUUCGGUCUAUAAAAAGCACAAGCACGAAUGUAUUGGCAAGGGUAUUUACUAAACCUCAACCAUAAGCAAACCCUCUUAAUGGUUAUUUUGCAUCAUUUGAGGGAUUUCAGACAAAGAACGGAUAUUAAAAUUGAGUAUCUACUACAUAUUAGAUACUCUGUCAGUGCUUUCAUAGAGAGUAUCUCACUGGAGCUCUAUAAUGACCCAAUGAGUUGCGUGGUUUGUCCAAAAGACCAAAUGUCUUAUCUCAGCCACCACCAGAAAAGGGACAUUUUAACCAAGAAUCAAUGCCAUAUAUUUAUGUAAAUUCAUUCCACCAAGUUGUCUUCUGGACGGUUACUAAUCGGAGCUGGUAUUUUAACAUCUCUUUCCAAGCCAAACAAAUACAAUUUUUAUUCAUCCCUUGAAAACUUUGUCUCCUGCUACUUUGCCUUUGCAGCUUGUGUGAGGACACCGAAGGCUCAACUGACUGUAUACCUGCCAUUCACGGCAUGAGCUGGCUUGGGCCACUGGGCCUAGGAAGUGAUAUGGAAAAAACGACUUCUCCUUCAAUUUCUUGUCUUAUCAUUUCUGACUGCCACCUCACCAGUUCCAUGGAAGUUGACUGUGCCUGGUGUACAUGGUCUCUCAAUGAUUUGGUGGUGAGUUUGGCACUUGGCUGGUCCCAAUGCCAGUUUACCUGUUUGACUGUGUUCCGAUGGCAUUGAUCUGCCUAACUUAGACAUCUAGACUGAGAAUGGGUGAAGGAUGGAUGAGGAAUUAGAAGGUGCUCACGUCUGAAUUGUGUACUGAAUAUGACCCCAAAUUCAGCUUUAUUGGCCUUAAAAAAAUGUGCUUCCAUAGCAGAGAUAGGAAAGGUUAAAAUGGACACAAAGACAUAAAGAAACGGUUGUUGUUAUGGUUGCUGUUGGUUUGUCUCUCAUCUCUGCCUUUCCCUAGCUGUUCCUCUAGCUGUUGUGGUGCAGCUACUGGGCUGUUUCAUGGUGAAUGAAAUGACUUGUCUUCAUAGUCAGCUCUAAGCUUAUUCCAUCCUGGGUACCUAGAAUGGAUCCACAUCUUUGGAACUGAGUGCUAUUACUAUCCUUUCCCCUACCUGGACAAUUAGAGAAUCACAGAAUUUUAGAAUGUUAAAGAAUUUCCAAUUCAACCCUCUUAUUUUAUAGAUUAAGAGAAUGGGACCUAAAAAAUAAAAAUAGGCCAAAAUUGAUACUUAAACCUUAUUGAUAUCUUACAUUAAGAAUGUGUUUUUACCACUUCAUAGCAGUUUACCCUACUGUCUGUUGAUCAUGGAAGGUAAUGUUACAUCCAUUUUAUCCUCAGAUUUUUCCUCUGACACACCCAUUUAGCAGCAGCCCUGGAAUUAGAACACAGACUUCCUGACUUCCAGUGCUAUCCUGGCCCAAUCUCAUCAUGAUUCAGGAUAAGUGAAGACUGUAUUCUUUAGCCAGCCCCUCGGAUGUACUGGAUGAAGCUAUAGUAAAGAGAUUUGUGAAGUCUGGAGUGCCUCACCAGCAGAACCAGAAAGGAAUUUUGUGAUUUAGCAAAUGGACAUUCUGAAGACACAAUGAGCAGAAGAAGGGACUGAGGGAGACUUUGGUGGCUGUGACCCUUUAAGUUUCAUUUACGGGAUCUGUAACAACACAGUAUCUGUCAGCGACAGACUGACACUGUGGUUGGUAAGCAUCCUUCACACAGUUAAGCUAGGUCUUUUAGGAUCUAGGAAGGGUGGAGGGACUUGCCGGCUGUUGGAAAUGCCAGGAAGUCUUAGAGUUUCAGGCCCUUUUACAGCAGGGGUGGCAUUCUUCAGGGAGCUGGGGGAAACCCUGGAUGUGGGACAAUCAACGCUGAAAUCUCUGCCUCUGCUUCUUGGUGCUUGAGCUGACACCGCGGGUAUUUCCAGCAUUCUUAUUCAAAUACACCAACUGUCUUAGGAGAGAGGCCCUGCAAUGAACGCUGUUUUAUUCUUGAUACUAGAGUGACCUAGUGUUGUCCAUUAGGGCAAUUACUGAAUGUCUUUGUCUCCCCAGUACCUCCCUAGACUCUAAAGCCUGGGGCCAGGGAGGGGAGGUUAGAUGUCAGCAGUGGAAGAACAGAUGGGUGAAGCCCAUUGCAGACCUCACAUCUUCCAGGAGAAACACACCAGUUGUUUUUAGGCUCCCUGGGGAAUGUUCUGUUGCCACCUCGUCAAAUCAGUAAAGGUGGAAAAAAGAAUUUGGUGCCAGCUAAGGCGACACUGAAGUGUGCAGCAGGAAAUCUGAAUCUAACAUCACAUCUAAUGAGCCUAUUAUUAGAGGCUCUUGGCAAAGCAAAGAAAAUCGAAUGCUAAUGAAAAGCAGGUUCUGAGAAUACUUUAAAACUUAGCAUUAGCCCCAUUCAUUACAUGUUCCCUUCUGAGUCACAGAGGAUGAUUUGCACAAUAAGCUGAGCUUGCCUUGAAGCAGGACUCACAUGGAUUUGCAUGAGAAAGAACUGGGCAGCGAUUGCAAAAUUAACAGCUGUUUAAAUAAUUCAAUGGAGGGGCUAAGACUGAAGGAAAUUAUAGGCUCAUUGUUAAAAGUUUUUAAUUAUCCCAACAGCUGUCCCAUCACGUGGCUUUACUUUGUUGGGCAGUGGAGGCCACUUGAGAGAUCUGCCUAAGUUGGCACACUGAAACUUCCAACAUUAAGGCAUUGCAUUGCUAAUAUUCCUCCAUUCAGGAGACACUCAAGUAGAAACAGAGUUGGUGGGCAGUGUCAGAGAGCAUUAGCCUUGAUGGAUUUGGUGGACCCAAACCCCACCUGGGGUUUAUUGCUUUGUUCUGUGUGCAGAGCCACAGGAUGUAGGAAGGGAAUAUUAGUAAGGGGGUAAGUGUGCACACUGGACAUGACUUACUGUGUUUAUACAGGGGACUUCCCAGACCAGGUUUAGCACUUUCUAUUCAUUGCCAUGAGAGCAAAUUCACUGGUUGUCGUGACCUUAGGCUUUCCACCUGUAUCCAACUCACCUCUUCCU
Long non-coding RNA from Sapajus apella (tufted capuchin), 6988 nucleotides. RefSeq lists it as uncharacterized. The transcript has 2 exons. NCBI's taxonomy places the organism in Eukaryota, Metazoa, Chordata, Mammalia, Primates, Cebidae. The record is from RefSeq and is a predicted model, not a curated record.